RNAcentral lists this ribosomal RNA (310 nucleotides) under uncultured bacterium. RNAcentral's name for it is "partial 16S ribosomal RNA". It matches the Rfam family "Bacterial small subunit ribosomal RNA", at positions 503 to 808 of the family's 1533-position model. The record is from RNAcentral.
AAGAGACAGCAGCAGCCGCGGUAAUACGUAGGUCCCGAGCGUUGUCCGGAUUUAUUGGGCGUAAAGCGAGCGCAGGCGGUUAGAUAAGUCUGAAGUUAAAGGCUGUGGCUUAACCAUAGUACGCUUUGGAAACUGUUUAACUUGAGUGCAAGAGGGGAGAGUGGAAUUCCAUGUGUAGCGGUGAAAUGCGUAGAUAUACGGAGGAACACCGGUGGCGAAAGCGGCUCUCUGGCUUGUAACUGACGCUGAGGCUCGAAAGCGUGGGGAGCAAACAGGAUUAGAUACCCCUGUAGUCCCUGUCUCUUAUACA